AGCGAACGCUGGCGGCAGGCCUAACACAUGCAAGUCGAACGAACCUUUCGGGGUUAGUGGCGGACGGGUGAGUAACACGUGGGAACGUGCCUUUAGGUUCGGAAUAACUCAGGGAAACUUGUGCUAAUACCGAAUGUGCCCUUCGGGGGAAAGAUUAAUCGCCGUUAGAGCGGCCCGCGUCUGAUUAGCUAGUUGGUUGAGGUAAUGGCUCACCAAGGCGACGAUCAGUAGCUGGUCUGAGAGGAUGAUCAGCCACAUUGGGACUGAGACACGGCCCAAACUCCUACGGGAGGCAGCAGUGGGGAAUCUUGCGCAAUGGGCGAAAGCCUGACGCAGCCAUGCCGCGUGAAUGAUGAAGGUCUUAGGAUUGUAAAAUGCUUUCACCGGGGACGAUAAUGACGGUACCCAGAGAAGAAGCCCCGGCUAACUUCGUG
Molecule: ribosomal RNA, 434 nt
Filed under: uncultured bacterium
Lineage: Bacteria
Description: partial 16S ribosomal RNA
Rfam family: Bacterial small subunit ribosomal RNA
Source: RNAcentral